CGGUGGUGGCGACCUGGUCUUUUUUGACAGGCAUCUGACUUCCAGAGCAUUCAGAUCUCUGAGACACAGCAGGAUGCAUGGAGAAAUUCAAUGCUUACUGCUAAUGCCAAAAAAACACGGGUGUUGGAUGAAUUAAUGUGCCUGGUUCAGAACUCAGAAGUAUGAAGAGGGUAUACAUAACCAGAUCAUACGUCUCUGCACUAACAAACCGGUGCACAGAACACGACCAUACCUUGCGAGGACGAACAGCGAGACAACCGCCAAGAACCUAUCGGGAAAAAAGAAAAAGAAACAAGAAGAAAGAUCCCAUCAUGGUCGCUGAGCUGGUUCCAUCGUCCCCGUGCAUGUGCCAUCAAUUUGGAUGCAACAUGAGAAAGAAGCAUUUCGUCAAAGUGCAGAUUUCUGUCAGGGAACAAGUAACGUAACCACACCCUCAAAUAGUAUUAUUGCGCAUAGGAAUACAUAUCUGCUCCUGCACUUAAUUCUCAGUUGCUCCCAAUCAGUAGGGGUGUACUACUACUACUGUAGCUAAGCGAAGGCAGCUAGCGCCACCAUGGCAAUCAGAUGUGCUAGCUCACACGACAGGGUUGACGGCAUUGCUGCUGAGAGAGAAUUCGCUGAUCGAGCUGAA
Molecule: long non-coding RNA, 631 nt
Filed under: Brachypodium distachyon (stiff brome)
Lineage: Eukaryota; Viridiplantae; Streptophyta; Magnoliopsida; Poales; Poaceae
Description: long non-coding RNA (BDIS_LNC002652)
Source: RNAcentral